AAGAAGAAGAAGAAGAAGAAGCAGGCCUAAAUCUAUCAAAAACUCAUGCACAUUACAAAAACAAGCUCAAGAACUGAAAGAUUGAUAGAUAAACUCCUGUUCUUAACUUUUCUCUCUGUGAAAUUUGUUGAAGAAAAGGGCAAAUUUUUCUGCUUCCGUCACUGAAUGAAGACAGAAGCAGAACAGCGCCAAAUCCAAAAUGUGGAGAGAAAUGGAGAGAAGUAAA
This 226-nucleotide unclassified non-coding RNA is filed under the name Hevea brasiliensis (rubber tree). Lineage: Eukaryota; Viridiplantae; Streptophyta; Magnoliopsida; Malpighiales; Euphorbiaceae. The record is from RNAcentral.